Molecule: long non-coding RNA, 529 nt
Organism: Pseudophryne corroboree (corroboree frog)
Lineage: Eukaryota; Metazoa; Chordata; Amphibia; Anura; Myobatrachidae
Exons: 3
Source: RefSeq, a predicted model, not a curated record
CAGGAAACAACGGGAAACUCGGGGCAUCUACCUAUUACAAGAAACGCACAAGAGAGAACGCGGGGGCCGAAACAUCGGGGCAAGACAAGAAAGAAGGAAAAAGAAAGAAAACAGUAAGGUUUGCGGAAAAUCUAGAGCAGGUUCGCAUCUAUGAGGUUGAUACCAACAAGAGACUAAAGCCUGUUCCUAAAAGAAAGAAGAGAAGAUCCUGUUGCCGCCCCCGCUGAAGGAAGUGCUGACCUCUGAUAUCUAGACCAGUCCAGGUGGAACCCUUAUGGAGCACCCUGUAAAUUAGUAUAAUGGUGGGAAUCACUAUCUAUCUGCAUGUGCAGAGCGAUGCUUAGAUCCGGUGUCCAGUACUAAGUGUUUAGCCUUGUCAGACUACCGCUUAGUAAGGGUCGGCGGAUCUAAGCAUCGUGUCCUACCAUUAUACCGCUCCAUAAGGACUCCACCUGAAAUUGUUUAGAUAUCAGCAGUGUUAUAGAUAAGCUAAUGCAUCAUAAAUAAUAAAAAAACAGCAUUUGCCCCA